CUUUGCUGGCGACCGGCGCACGGGUGAGUAACACGUAUCCAACCUGCCCUUUACUCGGGGAUAGCCUUUCGAAAGAAAGAUUAAUACCCGAUAGCAUAAUGAUUCCGCAUGGUUUCAUUAUUAAAGGAUUCCGGUAAAGGAUGGGGAUGCGUUCCAUUAGGUUGUUGGUGAGGUAACGGCUCACCACGCCUUCGAUGGAUAGGGGUUCUGAGAGGAAGGUCCCCCACAUUGGAACUGAGACACGGUCCAA
RNAcentral lists this ribosomal RNA (250 nucleotides) under uncultured bacterium. RNAcentral describes it as "partial 16S ribosomal RNA". It matches the Rfam family "Bacterial small subunit ribosomal RNA", at positions 83 to 334 of the family's 1533-position model. The record is from RNAcentral.